UCCCGGGUGGUGUAUCCGGCAACACGGCGGAUUUUGGUUCCGCAGAGCCAGGUUCGAGUCCUGGCCCGGGAG
This 72-nucleotide transfer RNA is filed under the name Amycolatopsis sp. DSM 110486. Its description in RNAcentral is "tRNA-Gln". It matches the Rfam family "tRNA". Rfam says of the family: Transfer RNA (tRNA) molecules are approximately 80 nucleotides in length. Their secondary structure includes four short double-helical elements and three loops (D, anti-codon, and T loops). Lineage: Bacteria; Bacillati; Actinomycetota; Actinomycetes; Pseudonocardiales; Pseudonocardiaceae. RNAcentral also lists the same sequence under 4 other names. The record is from RNAcentral.